Molecule: ribosomal RNA, 478 nt
Filed under: uncultured Arcicella sp.
Lineage: Bacteria; Pseudomonadati; Bacteroidota; Cytophagia; Cytophagales; Flectobacillaceae
Description: bacterial SSU rRNA
Rfam family: Bacterial small subunit ribosomal RNA
Source: RNAcentral
UGAACGCUAGCGGCAGGCCUAAUACAUGCAAGUCGAACGGUGUCUUCGGACAUAGUGGCGCACGGGUGCGUAACACGUAUGCAACCUACCUUACAUUGGGGGGAUAGCCUUUCGAAAGGGAGAUUAAUACCGCAUAAGACAGUAGCUGGGCCAUCCAGCAGCUGUUAAAGAUUUUAUCGAUGUAAGAUGGGCAUGCGUCCAAUUAGUUAGUUGGCGAGGUAACGGCUCACCAAGACUUUGAUUGGUAGGGGAACUGAGAGGUCAAUCCCCCCACACUGGCACUGAGAUACGGGCCAGACUCCUACGGGAGGCAGCAGUAGGGAAUAUUGGGCAAUGGACGCAAGUCUGACCCAGCCAUGCCGCGUGCAGGAUGAAGGCGUUAUGCGUUGUAAACUGCUUUUAUACAGGAAGAAACGACUCUUGCGAGAGGCAUUGACGGUACUGUAUAGAAUAACGCACCGGCUAACGUCCGUGCCAG